RNAcentral lists this non-coding RNA (183 nucleotides) under Salinispira pacifica. The record is from RNAcentral. Lineage: Bacteria; Pseudomonadati; Spirochaetota; Spirochaetia; Spirochaetales; Spirochaetaceae.
AUCAUACUUUUGACAUCAGGUAAUGCCGCAGAGAAUAACCCUGCAGCGGAAGUCCGGUGAAAAUCCGGCGCAGCCCCCGCUACUGUAAUGCAGACGAAAUCCGAACAUGCCACUGGGAAACCGGGAAGGCCGGAGAGUAGGACGAAGCAAAGCCAGGAGACCUGCCUGAAAACACAGAACGGG